RNAcentral lists this ribosomal RNA (492 nucleotides) under uncultured bacterium. Its description in RNAcentral is "bacterial SSU rRNA". It matches the Rfam family "Bacterial small subunit ribosomal RNA", at positions 903 to 1397 of the family's 1533-position model. The record is from RNAcentral.
AAAUGAAUUGACGGGGACCCGCACAAGCAGCGGAGCAUGUGGUUUAAUUCGAAGCAACGCGAAAAACCUUACCAAGGCUUGACAUAUAUGUGCAAACUGUAGAGAUACAGUCCUCCUUCGGGACUCAUAUACAGGUGGUGCAUGGUUGUCGUCAGCUCGUGUCGUGAGAUGUUGGGUUAAGUCCCGCAACGAGCGCAACCCUUAUGAUUAGUUGCCAAUAUUAAGUUAGGAACUUUAGUCAGACUGCCGUGGAUAACACGGAGGAAGGUGGGGAUGACGUCAAAUCAUCAUGCCCCUUACGUCUUGGGCUACACACGUGCUACAAUGGCUAUUACAAAGAGCAGCGAAACGGUAACGUCAAGCGAAUCUCAUAAAGAUAGUCUCAGUUCGGAUUGUGGGCUGCAACCCGCCCACAUGAAGCAGGAGUUGCUAGUAAUCCCGAAUCAGCAUGUCGGGGUGAAUGCGUUCCCGGGUCUUGUACACACCGCCCGU